RNAcentral lists this transfer RNA (58 nucleotides) under Heligmosomoides polygyrus. RNAcentral describes it as "tRNA-Met". The record is from RNAcentral. Lineage: Eukaryota; Metazoa; Nematoda; Chromadorea; Rhabditida; Heligmosomidae.
AAUAAGAUAGGAUAAUAAGUCUGUCAGGUUCAUACCCUGGGGGUGGUUUCUCUUAUUA